UUUCCGUAGGUGAACCUGCGGAAGGAUCAUUAACACAAAGCUUGCGCGUAUUGUUGGCACUUUACCGUGUCUCUUAUGCCGCAUCUUUACACCCCCCUUUUGUAAACGUGUUUUUUUUCAUAUACUGUUUCAGUGAUGCCCGAGGUUCGUCCUCGUGGUAUUACUCAACACCAUAUCUAUUAAACCCCUUGAAUUUUUUAGACUGACAUCUGAACAUACUUAACUGUGUGUUCUGCCAUUAUAUCAAACGCUGAACAACUCUUAGCAACGGAUAUCUUGGCUCUC
RNAcentral lists this unclassified non-coding RNA (285 nucleotides) under soil metagenome. Its description in RNAcentral is "partial contains small subunit ribosomal RNA, internal transcribed spacer 1, and 5.8S ribosomal RNA". The record is from RNAcentral.